Molecule: ribosomal RNA, 514 nt
Filed under: Arthroderma insingulare
Lineage: Eukaryota; Fungi; Ascomycota; Eurotiomycetes; Onygenales; Arthrodermataceae
Description: LSU rRNA
Rfam family: Eukaryotic large subunit ribosomal RNA
Source: RNAcentral
AACGGCGAGUGAAGCGGCAAAAGCUCAAAUUUGAAAUCUGGCUCCUUAGGGGUCCGAGUUGUAAUUUGUAGAGGAUGCUUCGGGUGUGGUCACGGCCUAAGUUCCUUGGAACAGGACGUCACAGAGGGUGAGAAUCCCGUCUUGGGCCGUUAGUCCACGCCCGUGUGAAGCUCCUUCGACGAGUCGAGUUGUUUGGGAAUGCAGCUCUAAGCGGGUGGUAAAUUUCAUCUAAAGCUAAAUAUUGGCCGGAGACCGAUAGCGCACAAGUAGAGUGAUCGAAAGGUUAAAAGCACCUUGAAAAGGGAGUUAAACAGCACGUGAAAUUGUUGAAAGGGAAGCGCUUGCGGUCAGACUCGGACGCAGGGUUCAGCGGGUGCGUGUCACCCGUGCAUUCCCUGCCGCCCGGGCCAGCAUCAGUUCUGACGGCCGGUCAAAGGCCCCCGGAAUGUGUCGUCUCUCGGGACGUCUUAUAGCCGAGGGUGCAAUGCGGCCCGUCGGGACUGAGGAACGCGCU